UCCCUGGUGGCUCAGACAGUAAAGAGUCUGCCUGCAGUGCAGGAGACCCGGGUUCGAUCCCUGGGUGGGGAA
Molecule: transfer RNA, 72 nt
Filed under: Bos taurus (domestic cattle)
Lineage: Eukaryota; Metazoa; Chordata; Mammalia; Artiodactyla; Bovidae
Also listed under: 3 other names
Rfam family: tRNA
About the family: Transfer RNA (tRNA) molecules are approximately 80 nucleotides in length. Their secondary structure includes four short double-helical elements and three loops (D, anti-codon, and T loops).
Source: Rfam by way of RNAcentral